Spizellomyces punctatus DAOM BR117 is the source of this 82-nucleotide non-coding RNA. The record is from Rfam. NCBI's taxonomy places the organism in Eukaryota, Fungi, Chytridiomycota, Chytridiomycetes, Spizellomycetales, Spizellomycetaceae.
GCACCUGUAUCGGAGCGGUCAAGGUGCUGGACUGGAAAGUCCAGUUUCGAGAGCCGCGUGAAUUCGAAUCUCACAGGGUGCG